CACCAAGCAACCAAAAGGCCCCUGUCCUACCCAGGCCUCAGAUGAGGAAACAGGUUCAGAGAGCAUCUGAGCAUCCAUGCAGCAGCAGGGGACCCCAUAGGGCUCCCAAUCUGCACCUGUCUGACUCGUCUAUUCAGUUAGGGACCUCCCACCCUCAUCAGAGAGGGGUUCAAGCCCCCCACUAGCAGCCCCCCAGUGGUCCGGGCACUCACCUACUACCAGCAUCCCAGGCCACCAGGCCUGCCAAGUGGGAGAAGCACAGCCCAGGUGUUUGUGUGGCUGGGGCGACAAGUCUUUGUUCUGGUUUCCAUAGGUACCGCGUCCCAGGGCCGCCCCGCUCUGCUCCUCCCAGCUGCCCAGCCCUCGCCUGGCAGUCUCUUGGCCCAGCCCAUCUAGGCAACUUGUUAUGUUUUAAAGUCGGUGCCCAUGGACCUGGCAGGGCAGUUGAAGGAACAGCCCACGCAGAGGCCCCGGGGCAGGACCGCGUCUGGAGUUUGGAGGAACGUGGAGGUUGGUCUGGUUGGAGCAGAUCCAGGGCUGCUAUCCUCUGCGUGAUUGCCAUCCAGAUCCUGCAUUCUGGCUGUGGGGCACAUCCUGGGCCCUGCGGGGUGUUGAGCAGUAUAUCUGGCCCCCCACCUACUGGACGCCAGCAGCCCCCCACCCCCCUCCUGGUCCCAACAAUGUCUCCCUCUCCCUCUG
Molecule: long non-coding RNA, 699 nt
Filed under: Mustela putorius furo (domestic ferret)
Lineage: Eukaryota; Metazoa; Chordata; Mammalia; Carnivora; Mustelidae
Description: lncRNA (ENSMPUG00000025312.1)
Source: RNAcentral